UACGGAGGAUCCAAGCGUUAUCCGGAAUCAUUGGGUUUAAAGGGUCCGUAGGCGGUUUUGUAAGUCAGUGAUGAAAGCCCAUCGCUCAACGGUGGAACGGCCAUUGAUACUGCAAGACUUGAAUUACUAGGAAGUAACUAGAAUAUGUAGUGUAGCGGUGAAAUGCUUAGAUAUUACAUGGAAUACCAAUUGCGAAGGCAGGUUACUACUAGUUGAUUGACGCUGAUGGACGAAAGCGUGGGGAGCGAACGGG
Molecule: ribosomal RNA, 253 nt
Filed under: uncultured bacterium
Lineage: Bacteria
Description: partial 16S ribosomal RNA
Rfam family: Bacterial small subunit ribosomal RNA
Source: RNAcentral